GAUGAACGCUGGCGACGUGCCUAAUACAUGCAAGUAGAACGCUGAAGGAAGGAGCUUGCUCUUUCCGGAUGAGUUGCGAACGGGUGAGUAACGCGUAGGUAACCUGCCUGGUAGCGGGGGAUAACUAUUGGAAACGAUAGCUAAUACCGCAUAACAGUAGAUGUUGCAUGAUAUCUACUUAAAAGGUGCAAUUGCACCACUACCAGAUGGACCUGCGUUGUAUUAGCUAGUUGGUGAGGUAACGGCUCACCAAGGCGACGAUACAUAGCCGACCUGAGAGGGUGAUCGGCCACACUGGGACUGAGACACGGCCCAGACUCCUACGGGAGGCAGCAGUAGGGAAUCUUCGGCAAUGGACGGAAGUCUGACCGAGCAACGCCGCGUGAGUGAAGAAGGUUUUCGGAUCGUAAAGCUCUGUUGUAAGAGAAGAACGAGUGUGAGAGUGGAAAGUUCACACUGUGACGGUAUCUUACCAGAAAGGGACGGCUAACUACGUG
This 497-nucleotide ribosomal RNA is filed under the name uncultured bacterium. RNAcentral's name for it is "partial 16S ribosomal RNA". It matches the Rfam family "Bacterial small subunit ribosomal RNA", at positions 28 to 507 of the family's 1533-position model. The record is from RNAcentral.